CAAAACUAAUAUGUGGAAAAGUCAAAAAUAUGAACUUUUUAUUCCUGAUUCUUUUUAUUAUUUGGAGAAUUAAACAGACAAUACUCUGUUCACUGAAAUCAAAGCAAAAGGAAAACUCACACAUUGAGAAAAUAUUCCCAAAAAGGAUACCUACUAUUCUCCCAUAUGUCCUAAGGUAUUAAAGAAAAUAAAUGGCUUAAAUAAGUGGCAGAAAGGAUUUAGGUUAGAUAUUAACUGGGUGGCUGAUGUUGGUGAGACAUUGAAAAAGAUUACCAAAAGAUACUUUGAGAUAAUUAAAGUCCUGAAAAAUGCUAUGCGCAUUGGAUUCCAUCCCAGUAUGUGCCUGAGGGUGCAGGAAGUGAUUCAGUGAAUCCUUGUUAAUUAUUUGAAAGCAGGGGGAUAAACUGGCUGUCUUCACAUAGUUUCUUUGAGUGAAUUCUCUGAUUCUACAGCAAAGAUUCUACUGAAUGCAUCUGUACUACUCAGGAGUGGUGUUCUUUGGUGUUUGGGGAUAGAUCUUUGUUUUCUUGACCCCUUCAUCCUUGCUUUCUGGAGAAUGCAGGCUCCCUCACUCAAUUCCAUUUCAGAACCUUCAUUCAUUCAGUCCUCUGGGGAGAAGUCUGAUAUGACCUGACUCACCUGGAGUCUUGAGCUACUACUGGGGCAGUUAACUUUCUACACCACUGUUGGUUUGGUUUCACUCUGCUCCCCAGGGAGAUUUGAAGAAGAUGAAAUUUUUGCCCUGAGAUUAAAGGGGACAGUUUCAGUGGGUUUAUGGCUUGUCAGUGUUGUAGGAUAAAGAAGAGACAAGGUAGCUGGUUUAAGACAGUAAAUAGCCUAGCUUUUCCAACGGGCCAGCACUGUUGACAUGGAGUAGUAAUCACACUGCUCCCUGCCUGAUGCAGGACAUUUAGUCUUUAGAACCACGGAGCAGAGAAUGCAGAGCAGGUGAGAGUUGCUGGUGAUGACCCCAUGCAACCAACUCUGUCACUGUGCAGAUGAAAAAGCACAAAGAUGAAAAGAUGAAAAAGGAGAGGUAUCAAUUAUUUUUCUUUUACAUUUCAGAGUUGGAAAUUGAAGAAUGCAAUGGAAAACAACAAGAAAAAGGCAAGGAGUCAGAGACAUCCCUGCCACGCGGCACAGAGAUUUAUAACUCUGAGCAAAGGUUUCAACAAAUACUAUUUCUUUACUCCAAAGUCCAUCUAUGUGUGCUUCCUGAAAUAAAGAACAGAGCAUUUCUGUCUUCUGGUCUCUAAUCCCAGGAGCCUUAGCAGCAGAGGCUGGGGGAGUUCCAAAAGGUCUUCUUAUAACUCUGGAGAUAAUGACUGGCUCAAACAAGCUGGCGCCGUGUGGGGACACCCAUAGACUUUAUUUAUCUCUCUCUGUCUCUUUUUUUUUUCAGGCUGACAUAGUGUCUGCACUGACAUACCCAGUCCAGAAAAAAGAAACUGUGUCUGUUAUAACUUUUACUUAAGUGGUAUAAGUGGAAAGAUCAUAACGCAAAGAUUUGUUGAAAACACACUUCUUAUCCAGACAAUCCAUUGUAAUGUUUCAAUUAAAAAGUUCUACUCACAGAAAGAGAUUUUAAAAAAAAAAAGAAGAAGGACAAGAUCUGGGAUUAAGUUUAACGACCUGGAACAGGCAAAGAACAUAAUAAAAUUUCUGAUUCGGUAUCUGGGUUGUGGGUA
RNAcentral lists this long non-coding RNA (1688 nucleotides) under Felis catus (domestic cat). RNAcentral describes it as "lncRNA (ENSFCAG00000048904.1)". Lineage: Eukaryota; Metazoa; Chordata; Mammalia; Carnivora; Felidae. The record is from RNAcentral.